This 252-nucleotide ribosomal RNA is filed under the name uncultured bacterium. RNAcentral describes it as "partial 16S ribosomal RNA". It matches the Rfam family "Bacterial small subunit ribosomal RNA", at positions 524 to 776 of the family's 1533-position model. The record is from RNAcentral.
UACGUAGGGUGCAAGCUGUCCGGAAUUAUUGGGCGUAAAGAGCUCGUAGGCGGUCUGUCGCGUCGGCUGUGAAAACCCGGGGCUCAACCCCGGGCCUGCAGUCGAUACGGGCAGACUAGAGUGCGGUAGGGGAGACUGGAAUUCCUGGUGUAGCGGUGAAAUGCGCAGAUAUCAGGAGGAACACCGGUGGCGAAGGCGGGUCUCUGGGCCGUAACUGACGCUGAGGAGCGAAAGCGUGGGGGAGCAAACAGG